Molecule: ribosomal RNA, 252 nt
Filed under: uncultured bacterium
Lineage: Bacteria
Description: partial 16S ribosomal RNA
Rfam family: Bacterial small subunit ribosomal RNA
Source: RNAcentral
UACGUAGGGGGCGAGCGUUAUCCGGAUUCAUUGGGCGUAAAGCGCGCGUAGGCGGCCGCCUAAGCGGAACCUCUAACCCUGGGGCUCAACCUCGGGCCGGGUUCCGGACUGGGCGGCUCGAGUGCGGUAGAGGAGAGCGGAAUUCCCGGUGUAGCGGUGGAAUGCGCAGAUAUCGGGAAGAACACCGAUGGCGAAGGCAGCUCUCUGGGCCGUCACUGACGCUGAGGCGCGAAAGCUGGGGGAGCGAACAGG